Molecule: long non-coding RNA, 5304 nt
Organism: Alexandromys fortis (reed vole)
Lineage: Eukaryota; Metazoa; Chordata; Mammalia; Rodentia; Cricetidae
Exons: 2
Source: RefSeq, a predicted model, not a curated record
GCUGUCGAUCUCACUCCACUAUUUCACACCGUCCUCUGCUCUGUUGCAGGCACAGGCAUCAUGGCACAUGUAUGGGGAUGCGUGUCAGGAGACAAUGUUUUUGAAAUUGGUUCUCUCCUUGUACCUUCUCCUGGAGUCCUGAGAUCAAACCCAGGUCCUCUGGCUUAGACUGGCAUGGCCAAUAUCUUCUCCUGCUAAGAGCUCACUGGCCCAUUAUCAUCUUCUAAAAGAGUCCCUAUGUUUCAGAGCUGUACUCUGAAAUAUCUCUGUGCAGAAGCUGGCCAGGAACUCUUUUAUCUAUUUAGACUAUAUUGACUUUGGCCUCAGUUUUCCUUCACCAGACUAUGAGUACUGGGGUUGAAGGCAUGAACCACCACACUCAGGUGUACGCCCUUCCUUCUUUUGUGUAAGAUUCCUUAUGUAUAUGCAUAUGUAUCACGUGUCUGCCUCAUGCUCACUGGAAUUAAAGGCAGUGUUGAGCUGCGAUGCAGGAAAUCCAACCAGGUGAUCUGAAGUGUUUCAACCAUUCAGCCAUAACUAUAGUUUCCAUGUAUCCUUACCACAGAAUAUGAAAGUGCCCCUAUGAGUCCCUUUUGUCCCCAUCCCAGCCUUCUGAGUGUCUAGAAUCACAAGUUGGAGCCCCCAAACCCAGUGUGGCCACCCUUUAACAUGGUUUGUUGUAAGUCAUCAGGAAUGCUCUGUUCUAGGAUCACUGGGCACCAGCACACCCUUCAGUUUCUGUGUCAAAAAAAAAUUCAAAAAACCAUAAAGUAAUAAACUUCAACACACUGAGAAAAAUUCAGUGUAUUCUAUAUAUUUAACAACUGAACAGAGACCGCUGGCCCCAAUUAAGAAAGCUUACCCAUAUGAAUUCUUCUCUUUUUCUGAUACAUGUAUAGACAUGCAGAUACAUGGCUUCCCAGGGAAAAUUCCAGCAUCUGUGUCUUGUCGGGCUCCAUGGUCUCUCCUUGACUGUAUCCUUUUUUCCUCCAGCAUUCAAUUUAGUUUUCCUUUAUUAGCUCUGUUCCCCUAUAGCUCUGCUAUAGGCCCAAAACAGUUCCUUAAUUAAGGAAUGAUAUUCAUAGCAUACAGAGGCAAAACUCACAUCAGAAAAAGAGACAUAGACAGACGAACAAAGAGAGAAGCAAAGAAAGAAAGAAAGAAAGAAAGAAAGAAAGAAAGAAGAAAGAAAUGACAAAAGAAAGAAAGAAAAUAGAAGAAAGAAAGAAAAAUAGAAAGAAAGAAAGAAAAUAGAAGAAAGAAAGAAACGCAGGACUGAGAAAGUGUUGGUUGUAAGGUGUAUAUUUUGCCUUACAGGGGUCCUUGGAUGUCCUUCAAAGUCUGGAUGAUGACCCCCUUCUGGACACCCAGCCUCUAGCACACCACUCCUUAAGUGCUCACUUUAGACCCAGAUUCCAUCCUCUUCCCUUGGUCAUCGCGAAUCUUCUGUUGUUUAUACAUGAGUAUUUCAAGACUAGAAGAAAUUGUUGAAAAGCAGGGAGACCUAAUCAUAUAUCUGAAGAGACACAACACCCUGCUCAGUAAGCAGAUGUUGGACUUCGUUCUCAGCCAGCUAGGACCUGAGAGACUCCUGGGUAUGACAGCUAUCAAAUCCUCAGUAACUCCAGACUGCACCAAGUUACUUCCACAGUGUGUGAUGGGAACAUGAGCUUUGCAUGGUUACACACAUGGGAAACUUGACAAUAUUUUGUAUGGUUUGAAAUAAUUUAACUGCUUAACUCUUUGGGAAUUUAAGAACUAUGGAAUAAUGUAGCUCUUUGUAAAGCAAGUGUGCCAUGACAGUGUGCUGUAAAUAGUGUUUCAAACCAGUCCGUUCUUGCCACAGUCAACUGCUGAGAGAAGACAUAGUUCCUGGUGCUCCUGUUUUCUUCUACAGUCUCACGGGCAGUUUUGUAUGAGUGAGGGCAGAUCAGGUGAGGGAAAGAUCAGAUGUGUUGUUGUUUUCUUGCUUGUUUGUUCUCCAGAGCUGGGGGGCGAAACCAAUGCCUCACACAGAAUGAGCAAACACUCUGCCUCUGAGUCAGUUUUACCAGGAUUUCCUUCUGCUGCUCAUGGUGACUCACACCUGUAGUCCCAGCUCCUGAAAAGCUGAGGCAAGAGAAUCACCACCAGCUUGAAGCCAGCUGAUGUCUAGUACACAGAAUGAGACCUUUCUCAAAAGCACUGAGCACUUUCCUCAGUAUAGGACCGAUCUCACCAGGACAUAUACGGUGGCCUUUCGGCUGUGUGUAGUUGAGAAAUACAGUGUGAAGGAUCCUGGGACAGCGGGAGACCCAGUGGAGAGGGGUGACACCUGCUAUGUUUGGAGAGUGCUGGCUGGCAAGAGGUGUAAGAAAUCAUCUGUCAUUUAGUGUAUCGUUGCUCUUCUUCAGGGACUUGCCAUAGAUCCCUGUGCUACACUUUGAUUUACAGCAACUUCAAUUAGCUGAGCAUGGUGGCCCACAGCUGUCAUCCUAGUACUUGGGAGGCAGACACAGGAAGUUCAAGACUAACCUGGUCCAAAUAGUGAGUUUCAGGCUGGCCAGAGCUACAAAGUCAUCCUUUUCCCUCUCGCCCAAUUCCUCUGCUAGCCCAGCCUGUUCCCAGGCCUAUAAAAUCAAAGUGUGGAGAGUCCAGAGCUGGCAUCCUCCUCCACUGCAGAGUGAGUCAGAGGACAGCUUGCAACAACAGAAGACGCUACCGGAUGCUAACUUAAAAUGGGAUAUUUUCACCUCUGCCCAGCCCCUGACAGCCAAGCAGGAAUCAGAGCCUUUGGGGCAAGGAAAAAUGCAGACUAGAACACCUGUGUGCAUGAGUAUUGCUACUCAUGGCCUCAGCAGGGGUGCUCUGCGGGCAUUUACUGCUUGAGGACUAGCGCACAUUUCUACAUUAUUUUUAUGUGUGUGAGUGUUUUGCCUGCAUCUUGUACACAUAUGUAUGCACUUGGGAAUGUCUAAUCCCUACGAUGGACAGAAGAGGGCAUCUGAUUCCGUGGAACCAGAAUAGAUUCCUGGAACUCAAAGUUCAGGGAGAGAACCAAACCCAGCAAGUUCUCCUGUGGCCUUCACUUGACUGUCAUGGCACAGGGUCCACCCAUAAACACACACAUAAAUGUAAUUUUAAUGAAGAUGACUUCUGGACCCGAGUGACGGCUCAAUUGGUAGACAGCCUGCUUGCCUUGUAAGCAUGAGGCCCUGGGCUCUUUCCACAGUGCCUACAGGUCAGGAUGGUAGCACAGGCCUAUAAUCCCAGUACUUGGGAGAUGGGACCAGGAAAUGCAAAAAGCCACAACCACCCCUAACUCCCUAAAGCAAGAAACCAGAUUCUCCUAAUUCUGCCUCCUAAGGAUAGAAAUGAGCCAUGAGCCACCAAGCCUGGACAUUAAAGAUCUACAUAUAGGGGGAUGGAGAGAUAGCUCAGCAGUUUGGAGCACUAGGGCUGUUUCCAUGAGGUGUUGAGUUCAAUUUCCCCACCCUCAUGGUGGCUGACAACCAUCUGUAGUGGGAUCUAUUUCUUCUGGUAAAGCCAUACAUGCAGAUAGAGAACUCAUAUACAUAGAAACAAUAAAGGAAUAUUGUUUUUAAAAGAAAAUUAAGUGAGAUGUAUGAGAAGGCAAGAGUAAUAGCUAUACACCCCGAGGAUGGAGUCAUUUUCUUUUUAUUAAAAUUUAAUGGAUAAAAUCAGUACAUUCAUGGGAACUUUGUCACAUUUCAACAUGUAGUGUUCAAAUAGCAGGUGACAACUACCUUUUCAACAGUUUGUCUCCCCUCUGGUGACAUCAUCUCAGAUUCUCUCACCCAGCAUUUUCCUCCUCUCCCUUCUUUCCCUUCUCUACCAUGAACCAAUCAGGGCCUGAGAAGGCUCACAGGGUAAAAGUGCUUCCCAUUGCUGACCUGAUGACCUCAGUGCUGAAGGCAAUCCAGGGCCAUGUGAUGGAGAAAUCGUGACCCUCAACUGUGGUCAGUCUGUCUGCUUAUCUGUGUCUACGUGUCUCUGUUACAUAUUCAAACACACAAAUUUUUAAAAAUUGGUUAAAAUGUGCACAAAAACAUAUAGAUACCCAGAGACAUUAGCCUGUAGUCCCGGCUACUGGGGAAGGGGUGUGAAGGGUGAGAAUAACAAAUUCAAGGGUAGCCUGGACACCCUGACAAGACAAUAACAAAUACAAAGGGGUGGAUGCUGUGAGCUCAAUGCGGAUCACCUGCACAGGAGCUCUAGGACCUGAAUCCAAUCCCUAGUGCUGGAUCUGGAAGACAAGGGCAGAAGAAAAGGGAGGGAAGGAGGGAAGAACGGAGCCAGGGCAAGGGAGGGAGACAUGGAGGUUAACAUUGAUGAUCUGAUUACUAAAUCGAAAACUCAGGAGUUUUAAAGGUUUUAGAAUUCUGCAUCUGUUAAUCCAGUUGCUUAUGAAUAUUGCAGGAGUUUCUGAGAUUCUGAGGAAACUGGGGUAUCUUCAAGAACAAAUUUGAAAGGCUGGGCAUUUGUGACUCAGGAGAGCCAUGCAGGAAUCCGAGGUCAGCCUCUGCUUUGUACCAAGUUUAAGGCCAUCCUAGACUGAAUAAGACCCUCUCUGAUAUAAAAUAAAUAAAUAUAUUCUUAAAACUCCCAUCCCAUUAUGAGGUGCGAUGGGCCUGUGAUACAGGGCUGUGAUUUGAACCACCUGGAUGUGCUGAGCCAGGAGGGACAGCAGAUUUAGUUAAGGCUAGUGUGGAUGAUUCCUUAGGACAGUCUCUAAGAUGACAGGGUUGUGUGUGGCUCGAUGGUCCAUUAUUUGCUAGGCAUGGGAUUUAAUAACAAAACUUCUUUCAGAUGUAAGACACAGAAAUUAAAAAAUACAAUUGUUGCCCGAUGUGUUGAUCCAUGGCUGUAACCCAGAGUACAGGAAACUGAGAUAGGCAUGCUGACAGGGUCGGCCUGGACAGCAUAGCAAGUUCCAGACCGAUCUGGGCAACACAGGAAGAACUUGCCUUGAAAAAAGAUGAAUCAAUACAAUAAAAGAGAAUGUGGGUACAGCACUCACACCCAUAAUGCUAUCAAUGAUGUAUAGUCUUGUCCGCAGCUGUACAACCUUGGCGAUCAUCUGGGAUGGGAGCAAGGAGUAUGGAGCCUGAACUAAAUGUCAGAGUUAAGACCACCUGUGGGUUUUCGCCCACCAUCUGAGGCAGAACAUAGCCUAAGAGGUUCUGAAUGACGACUCAGGUAGAAAUAAGGGCAAACAGGCCCAGUGAAAGUAUCCCUGAAAGUAUAGAUGUGAGAUUUCUCAGGCAUGCUAUAGAAGGAGACCUCUCCCAGCUCAUAGUCCAG